UUCUAUUUCCCCUCCUCAGGCCUUCACCUGCCUCUUCUGGACAGGGGAUUUUUUCUUUCAGACCAUCCCUAAAUGGUGGGGAUUCAGGCCACACAAGAGUCCUCACCCCCAACAAUUCAGGUCAGAGGGAAAGCAGAACCCCACUAGAGAGUCUUCCUGGUUUCCAGCUACCAGUUCAGCAGACUCUCUACGAACAGAGACAGAUGGGACUAGCCAGGUCAAGAGAAGCAUGGACUACUUCCAGAUGAAGGUUCUUCAAGGUCUGAUCUAUACAUAUUGCAUUAAGGAAGGCCUAGAGCAUCCAAUACCCAUUAAGAGCGAUGGCCUUGGAAAAUGUUUCCCUGCCUUGUUUCCUGGUUUCACUUUGUACCCUUACCUCUCUUGACCUUUACCAUAUACACCCUGUAUUACCUCCUAGAAAAACGGUCAGGCAUUAUAUAAGGCUAGUACUUCAGGAAGAUGUUUAGAUCUCUCCCACACUCAUGAAGCUCUCGUUUCCUGCACAGUAAAGGUUUUAAAAACAAUUCUUGGCAUCACUGAGGGUGAGAGGUAAUAUACUCAUGAAGUGUGGUUCGUUUCCAUAUUUCACUCUUUUAGCUUUGGUUAUAUUCUUCCAUUGCCAAUGUUAAUAAGCAACAACUCUGUUCCUUGUCCUCGCUUAUUAUACUUCUGUUUGCCUAUUGUUUCCUCUAUGCCUACUUAACUAUGCUGAUUUUUCUUUCUGUCGGAGAACAGUUGGAGACCCAGACUUUCAGCUUACUAAAGUAUAUGGAUAAAAUAAAGACGUCCUUUUAUGGUUAUUGCA
RNAcentral lists this long non-coding RNA (805 nucleotides) under Ursus americanus (American black bear). RNAcentral's name for it is "lncRNA (ENSUAMG00000024468.1)". Lineage: Eukaryota; Metazoa; Chordata; Mammalia; Carnivora; Ursidae. The record is from RNAcentral.